UACGAAGGGGGCUAGCGUUGCUCGGAAUCACUGGGCGUAAAGGGUGCGUAGGCGGGUCUUUAAGUCAGGGGUGAAAUCCUGGAGCUCAACUCCAGAACUGCCUUUGAUACUGAGGAUCUUGAGUCCGGGAGAGGUGAGUGGAACUGCGAGUGUAGAGGUGAAAUUCGUAGAUAUUCGCAAGAACACCGGUGGCGAAGGCGGCAUCCUGGACCGGUAUUGACGCUGAUGCGCGAAAGCCAGGGGAGCAAACGGG
This 253-nucleotide ribosomal RNA is filed under the name uncultured bacterium. RNAcentral describes it as "partial 16S ribosomal RNA". It matches the Rfam family "Bacterial small subunit ribosomal RNA", at positions 524 to 776 of the family's 1533-position model. The record is from RNAcentral.